AACGACUCUCGGCAACGGAUAUCUCGGCUCUCGCAUCGAUGAAGAACGUAGCGAAAUGCGAUACUUGGUGUGAAUUGCAGAAUCCCGCGAACCAUCGAGUCUUUGAACGCAAGUUGCGCCCGAAGUCAUUAGGUCGAGGGCACGUCUGCCUGGGCGUCACGU
Molecule: ribosomal RNA, 162 nt
Filed under: Kalanchoe pumila
Lineage: Eukaryota; Viridiplantae; Streptophyta; Magnoliopsida; Saxifragales; Crassulaceae
Description: 5.8S ribosomal RNA
Rfam family: 5.8S ribosomal RNA
About the family: 5.8S ribosomal RNA (5.8S rRNA) is a component of the large subunit of the eukaryotic ribosome.
Source: RNAcentral